This is an RNA transcript of Rhagoletis zephyria (snowberry fruit fly), 705 nucleotides long. It is a transcript of the gene named lipopolysaccharide-induced tumor necrosis factor-alpha factor-like, with no coding region annotated. The record is from RefSeq and is a predicted model, not a curated record. NCBI's taxonomy places the organism in Eukaryota, Metazoa, Arthropoda, Insecta, Diptera, Tephritidae.
AUGGGUACAGUAUUUCGCUGUUACAACCGCUGAUGCACUAUUUGCUGGCACCAAAUAUCUAUUCUACGACACCAACUAAAGCGUUUCGAGGCGUUCAAAGCGGACGACGUAUUUGAGUCGCAAAUUUCAUUAGGAGAACAUAGUUACGGGAAUUUUGGUUUUUAAAAAAUAUUAAUUGAGACAUUUUGAUCUCUUAACUAUUGAUCCAUUAACUGGAAAAACAUGUCAACACCAAUUGGCCCCAUUCCUUGCAGUUUAACCUGCCCCAAUUGUUCAAAGCAGGUCAACUCGCGUCUGGAAUAUCGAGCAUCAUCGAAGACACACAUUAUCGCAUUACUUCUCGCUGGAAUGCUCUGCAUACCUUGCGCUGGCAUGUUAUAUUGUACGCAGUGCGCACGAAAUGUGGAACAUUACUGUCCAACCUGCAAUGCUUUUUUGGGCGUGUAUGAUCGUUAGAAAGUGGCGAUCACUUUCGGUAAAUGGAUGAACGUUAAAAACUAGAACGUGUACAAUAUUUUAACAGAAUAUCAGUCUCUAAAGAAAAAAAGUUAUAUAUUUAACUAUAUGCUUAUAUGGAUGUAUUAAAAAUGCUCAAAUUCGCACACAAAAUAAUUCUGAAAUAACAAUUUUAGCCAGAAAACGAUAAUCGGGCAAGUUUCAUUCGGGACGAAGUCAUUUUUGUCUAGUAUCUAUGAACAUGCCACA